Quercus lobata is the source of this 7517-nucleotide long non-coding RNA. RefSeq lists it as uncharacterized. The transcript is spliced from 6 exons. Lineage: Eukaryota; Viridiplantae; Streptophyta; Magnoliopsida; Fagales; Fagaceae. The record is from RefSeq and is a predicted model, not a curated record.
GUUAUUUUCUCAAGAAACUACACUUCUUUGACAUGGUGCGUAGAUGAAUUUGUCCAUGUUGUUAGAUGCAAGAAAGAGACGAAAUCAAUGAUUUUUCUCAUUUUUUAUGAUGUGAAUCCAUGUCAUGUACGGAAACAUAUGGGAACUUUUGGACAAGCCUUUAAUGAACAUGAAAAAUGUUUUAAAGAGAACUUGAAGAAGGUGAAAAUGUUGAGAGCUACUUUGAGAGAAGUGACCAAUCUAUCUAGUUGACAUUUACAAGAUCGGCAUGAGUCAGAAUUUAUACAACACAUUGUGAAAGAGAUGAUGGAUAAAUUGAGUUCAAAAUCCUCAAGCAUUACCAAAAACUUUAUAGGAAUACAAUCUACUGUGGCAAAAUUGAUCCCUUCGUAUUUAGGUUUUGAGAAUAAUGUUUACAUUAUUGGGAUUUAUGGUAUGGGAGGAUUGGGAAAGAUAACUCAUGCUAGCUUUAUUGCUAAUGUUAGGAAGAUUUUAAAUAAACACAGGCUUCCUAGAUUACAACAGCAGCUUCUUGCAAACAUUUUGGAGGACAGAAAAAUAGAUAUAAGGAAUGUUUAUGAAGGAGUUGAAAUGAUUAUGAAAAUGUUGUCAUAAAAAAGUUCUACUUGUUAUAGAUGAUGUCAACCAAUUAGACCAAUUAGAAAAAUUGGCUAGAGAGUUUGGAUUGGGGAGUUGGAUCAUCAUAACAACUAGAGAUGAACAUGUGUUGGUUCAACAUGGAAUACUUAAAAGAUAUAAGCCUAACAUAUCAAAUAAUGAUGAUGCUUCAAAACUUUUUUGUUUGAAAGCUUUGGAAAUGGAGGAACCCAAAGAAAAUUAUACGCAGCUCUCCCGAAAAGUUGUAGAAUAUGCUAGUGGCCUUCCAUUAGCUCUUGUUACUUUGGGUUCCUUUUUGGUUGGAAGAACAAUAGAUGAAUGGCAAAGUGCAUUGGACAGUUUCAAAAAAUAUGAAAGGAGAAAUAUUUGAUAUACUUCAAAUAAGUUACGAUGGACUAUAAGAAAUGUGGAAGGAGGUAUUUUUGGAUAUUGCAUGUUUCUUUAGAGAGAAGAAGAAACAUAUAGGAAUACAAAUAUUAGAGAAUUGUGGUUUUGAUGCAAUAAUUGGUAUUAGUGUUCUUGCGGAAAAGUCUUUCCUAACCAUAGAUGACAACGAAAUUUUGGGGAUGCAUGAUCUACUAAAAGAAAUGGGUGAAAAAAAUUAUUUCUAGAAUUAGGUGGAAAGCUUGGAAAGCAGAGUAGGUUAUGGCUUUUUGAGGACUUGCUUCGUGUAUUGGAGAAAGAUAUGCAGAAGAUAUUCAAGCCAUAGCCACAUACGGGAAAGAGGAUUUCAACUUUGAAGAAUUUCCUGAAGUUUUUUCAAGGAUGUCUAAACUUAGAUUGCUGAUUAUUGAUGGGCAGCGCAUCCCAAAUGCUCUCAAUCAUGUUCCUAAUGACCUAAGAUAUCUUCCGUGGAGCUUCUGUUCUUUAAAAUGUUUGCCAUCCAGUUUCCAACCAAAGAAGCUUGUUCAACUUGACUUGCGGUGUAGCAAAUUUGAAUAUCUUUGGGAAGAAGUAAUGCAUUCAGUCAAGCAAAAGUUCACUGAUCUUGUUGUUCCAAAAGCCUUAUUAGGACACCUGACUUUUCAGGUGUUCCGAGACUUGAGGGACUAAAACCUUCAUGGUGCGACAGUUUGGUUGAGAUCCACCCAUCUAUUGGACAACUCAGCAGGCUUAGGUACUUAUAUCUGCAAGGCUGUGAAUCUCUUACUGAUCUUCCCAGCAUGUCUGCUGAAAUGCAGUCCCUUAUAAUCUCAAAUUUCUUCCAAGCAACAUGGAUGAUUUGAAGUCUCUUGAAAAACUCAUUCUUUGUGGAUGCUCAAAACUAAAAUGAUUGAAAAUGUUCCCAUCAACUGUAAGAUAUAUAAAUGCUCAAUUUUGUUUUUCCCUAAAAGCGUCACCAGCAUUGGUCAAACUGAGUAGCUUGUCACAACCUCACUCCCAGACAUGUCUGGAUGAUGAGAGCAGCAGUGAACUGGCAUUUACAACAUUGUACCAUUACCUACAAGUAAUCUCUUCUCUCUCUCUCAUUGUUAAAUAACAGUUACCUACAGGCUACAACAAUAGUUGUGUUUUUGGCACAGGGGCUCCUUUGCUGUAAAACCGAUUAUGAAAGGACCAAAAGAAAAGAGGAUGUAACUAUAACUGAAUUUCAGAUAAUUGUUUGUGGGUUUGAAAUUCCUUCAUGGUUAACUCAUUAAAGUGUGGGGAAUUCAAUAAGCAUGGAGCUACCUUUUGUUGUAAUAGUAAAUGGAUGGGAUUCGCUAUAUGUGCAUCAGUAUCAGCGGGAUUUGGCAUUAGAGUUCGUGUGAUAGCCCUUGGUGAUAUGCCUCUGAACUUUUUACUAUGUAGAUGCAUUGUGAGGACAGUAUAUGGUUAUUUUAUUUGUUUUGUGAUGGUUGGUUUGCUACUGUUGGGAAUGGAGAAUGCAGUAAGAUUAAGGUUAUAAUUGAGACCUAUGACUCAGCCAUUCAUGUACGUGAAUGUGGGGUCAAUUUGGUAUACGAGCAAGAUGUGGACGAGUUCAACAAAAUGCACAAUGUUUGAUUGAGAGCUUUGAUGGUGAUGAUGAUGAUGGUGGUGAUGAUAAUGAUGAUUGAAAUGACUGCAGAAGAUGGUGCUCAUUUUUGUUUUUUUUUUUUUUUUUGCUUUUUUCAUAGGAUGAAUUUCAAUUGAGGCUUUGGCAAGUUGACCCUUUAUCCCCUUUUCUCUUUGAUAUUGUCAUGGAGGCCUUGAGCCGUAUGUUGGUUGCAGCUACUGCAGCAAGGCAGUUUUCGGGCUUCACAGUGGGGAAUGUGACUGGUUCCUUGAUGACGGUGUCUCACCUUUUGUUCGCGGAUGACACUUGUUUUCUGUGAUGCUGAUAGCAAUCAUGUAACAGCUUUGCAUGGGAUUCUCUCUAGAUUUGAGGAGAUGUUAGGGCUAAAUAUUAAUUUAGGAAAGUCUGAAUUGGUACCAGUUGGGGAUGUGCCUAAUCUUCAUGAGCUAGUGGAGAUUUUGGGCUAUAGGGAGUCCGUUCUUCCGUUGAAAUAUUUAGGUCUUCCGUUGGGUGCUUCUUUUAAAGAUAAGACAAUUUGGAAUCCUAUUUUGGAGAAGAUGGAGCGAAGGCUAGCUGGUUGGAAGAGGUUGUAUUUAUCUAAGGGGGAUAAGGUUACCCUUAUUAAGAGUACUCUAUCUAGCCUACCUACGUAUUUCCUUUCUCUUUUCCCUAUCCCAGGCAAGGUGGCUUAGAGGAUGGAGAAAUUACAAAGGGACUUCCUUUGGACUAGUAUGGGGGACGAGCAUAAGAUUCACUUAGUAAAUUGGUCUAAGAUAUGUAGGCCAGUGAAGUUUGGAGGGAUAGGCAUUAGGUGUUUGAGAAGGUUUAAUUCUGCCUUAUUAGCCAAAUGGUUGUGGCGCUAUGGUUUGGAGAAUGAUGCCCUUUGGAGAAGGGUCAUUGGGGCGAAGUAUGGGAAUGAGUGGAGUGGUUGGUGCACAAAAUCUAUGUCUGGGGCAUAUAGUGUUUGUUUGUGGAAGUUCAUUCGGAGUGGUUGGGGGAAUUUUUCCAAGUUCAUUCGGUAUGAAGUGGGUGAUGGAACUCGUGUGAAGUUUUGGGAUGAUGUGUGGUGUAGGGAUCGUCCUCUUAAGGAGGCGUUUCCAGAUUUAUAUAAUAUUAGUAGGACAAGGGAUGCUUCGAUCUCGGAGGUUAUGUGCUUUGUAAAUGGGAGAGUUUCUUGGGACAUUCAGUUUCUUCGUUUAGUGAAUGAUCAAGAGUCACAAUCUUUGGAUUCGUUUAUGGUUUUGAUCUAUUCCACAAAGGUGCGAGGUGUUGGUUCUGACAAUCUUUGUUGGAAGCCAGCCAGCAGUCGAGGUUUCAAGGUGAGUGGGUAUUAUCAUUCUAUUUCCUCUUCUACUGGCAUUUCUUUCCCUUGGGAAAAUGGUGUGACAAUCAAAGAUUCCUCCUCGGGUAGCUUUUUUCUCUUGGACUGCGGCUCUAGGCAAGAUUCUAACUAUAGACAAGCUUCGGAAGAGGCAUUUUGUUGUCCUUGAGUGGUGUUUUAUGUGCAAAAGGUGUGGGGAAUCUGUAGAUCAUCUCCUCUUUCACUGUCCUAUAGCUUAUAAGAUGUGGAGUAUGAUCUUUUGCUUGUUUGGUAUUUGUUGGGUGAUGCCUUAAAGGGUAAUGGAUUUGUUGGAUUGCUGGACAUGCAAUUUCAGGCGUCAUCAUAAUAUAGUUAUUUGGAGGCUUGUGCUGCACUGUUUGAUGUAGUGUAUCUGGCAGGAACGGAAUUCUAGAAGUUUUGAGGGUCGUGAAUGGUCCAUGAUUGAGUUUAAGUCUUUCUUCUUUUUUACUCUUCUCGAAUGGUGUCUUGUUUUACCAUCUUUUUCUUGUUUUUCCCUUCCUGAGUUGCUAGAUCUUUGUAAUUUGGUUUCUUGAUGUUUUUGCCUUUUUGUACAUUUCCUAUGUAUUGGGCUGUGUAUCUUAAUGUUACUUCUCUUGAGAUGAGAUUGAGCUGGAUGCCAAAGCUAUUGUGGACAUUUUGAACAAAUUAGACUCUGUGAAUAAUAUUAUUUCUCCUAUUCUGGACGACUGCAGAUUGUUAACUUCCCGUAUUCCUCAGGUUCGUGUUAAGCAUUGCUUUCGUCAAUUGAAUAGAUGUGUGGAUAGCCUUCCUAGAAUGAGUUUUAGUUUAGAUUGUGUUUUUCUUCUUUUCAUUGUCUGCUUGUGGACUUGUUGGAUGUGUUUGAAGAUGAUCUCAAUGGGGUGUAUAUUAACAGGCUGUGUCCUGUUCCUGUUGUUCCCCUUUAGUUGGUUUUAAUGAAUCGUCUUUCACCAAAAAAAAAAUGUAUUGGGCUGUGUGUUUUUUAAUAAAAUUUUUAUGUUACUAAUCAUAAAAAAAAAAAUUGAGGCUUUGGCAAGUAGAUGUGCACAUGCAUUUCAAUCAGGCUAACCAUGUUUUAAUGAAGUUGUAUUUGGUUCAGUUACAAUGAUUUGGAAACUUGUUCAAUUGGCAUACCAAUGCAUCUUAUUUUAAAAUGGAAAUAGAGUUGAAGAUCUACUUAUACAAGGGGUCUAGGUCUAGACAGAUAAUGAGUUAAAUGGUUUUACUAAUAAUAUUUCUUGUUGGAUGAAUUUCAAGUGAGUUGUGCUAUUGGAUUGCAUACAAACCAGGUAACUUUGUCACAUUUCUCUGUUCUAUAUGGAUUUGAGUUAAUGUCUAUGAGACAGUGAUUUGUGAAUUUUGAGGCAGAACUUUAAGGUUAUAAGUUUUUAUCAAUCUAGCCAUAGUAUGAAAUAAACAUUAAUUUUAGUAUUCAGUCUUGAAUAUUUUCCUUGCAGUUCAAAAAUCGCAAGUGUCAAACAAGUUCACUUCCAUUAAACUAUUUGUUAUUUUCUACUAUGCAUCAAGGGUUGUUAUAGGGCGUGUCUGGCAACAUUUAGGAGCCUAGUUUGCAGUCUAGUAUAUAUAUUUUUGGCAUUCGUUGUACACUUGAGAGGGAAAGUCCUUUGGAUCGGAUUCUUGACAGGAUCUAUUGAACAAGUAUUUCUUCUUGCUCUUGGAACAAAUUUAACUAAUAGGCAAAAACAGAUUAAUGGGCAAUCUUUGGAGUUGUUCCUUUCUUUAAAGUUGCUUCCCUAACCUAUCAUUUCCCUCUUAUUGUGCAAGUUAUGUUCAAUUUACUUAAUGGGCACUCAAAAUACAAGUGUGCUCUACAUUCCAGACUUUCUUGUAGAAUACAUAAUUUAGAUCACCUGUGUAACCCCAAUGCAGCAUUCUGUCUAGAGUGCCUAUUCUAUUACUCAUUACUAGCCAACAACAGAAUGCACGUCUUGUAAUAGCUUGAGAGAAUCAGAUGAUUUUCCCUAGCUGAUUUUUAUUUUUAUUUUCUUUCUACUUUCUUUAGUUUAUUUUUAAUGAAAUUUCUUAUUCAUAAAAGAUUUUUUUUUUCUUUUUAAAUGAAGAGAGAGAGUGGAAGGGACUCUCACCAAAGUUACUCCACCUUUAGGUUCUUUACAAUUAGACCAACCACUUCUUGAUUAUGGCUUGCCACUUAUUGGACUGGAUUGUUCAGACCAACCAUUUGUGCUGUCAAAUGGUGGCUUCAGCUUUCUUUACAUUCCAAUCGCUUCUGCAUUUGUGCCAAUGCCCUGCUUUCAUCUGCGUAGAUUAGAAGUCACACCUUUAGAUUUACCAAUCGCUAAUGAAAUAUAUGUAUCCAUAGUAAAGCUGCAAAAUUGCUCAGUUCAAUCCAGUAUUGGGCUAUCGAAACUUUGGUCAUGUUGAAACUAGACUACUUUUGUCCUUGACUGAACCUCAGCUAGUCUGCUUAGUCUAUGUUUUAUGUUGGUUUGAGCUCAUUCUUGUUCACAAGCCUAAGUGAACUUUAUUAACUAGCCUGAAAUCAACAACACAAAAUCUGUUAAUUUACUAAUACAACUUAGCAAUCCGAAAGCAUAAUUCUUUGUCCGAAAGCAUAAUUCUUUGUCACUGAUGUUUGUUUUUUAUAUAUUCGCCAUUGAUGUAUAUCAUCAUCACAUCAUAAUUAUAAUUGUACCAUAGAUGUCUUCUGGUUUGAGAAUCUGAUAUGUCAGACUAAGAGAUAUAAUUCAGGCAUCAUGAUAAGUGAAUUUUUGUGGCUGCUAAGCAGUGUGUGGGAUGGCUGGUGCAUUAAGGGCUUUAUACGGACAAGCCAAUGGGGCAGAGCUAUUCCUUCUGCAUAUGGGAGUUCUUUCACUUUUCUGUUCCUUCUGCUGGAAUGGUUUUGUAAUUCUUUUUUGUUCUUUCUGUCAAGAAAAUGGUAGUCUUCAUUUUUUGGCUACAUGUAUUAAGUCUAUUCACAUUUUGUUGCAUGCCAAUCAUUAUAGUAGGCUUCUAAUUUCUCACUGUAUGCAGCUUGGCAAUUAGUUAAACGUGUUUUCUUACUCCUGAACUUGUUUAUGUAUGGUAUACAAUUGUUUUGAAAACGAAUGCAUCAAACACUUUGUAUCACUCAAGCUUCAAAUGAGUUGGGACUUGGGAGGUGGGAAUCCACAAGCAGCUAAAAUGACUGUCAAGAUCAUAAUGGUUCUUGUAAUUGCAGAGAUGGUUAUCGUAGGCAUGAUUCUCUUCAGUUGCUGCUAUGUUUUGGGCCAUGCCUUCAGCAACGAGAAGGAAGCUGUGGAUCUAUUGCAAAUAUGGUCCCCUUUAUUUGUCUCUCAAUAAUCAUGGAUGGCUUACUAGCAGUGCUUUCAGGGGUUGCUAGAGGACGUGGCCGGUAGCAUAUAGGAGCUUAUGACAAUUUUGGGGCAUGUUAUCUGGUUAGGGUUCCAUUAGUUGUUUUUUUGGCCUUCGUUGUACACUGAAGAGUGAAAGAAGGAAAGGCAUGUGUAGACACUCGACGGUCUCUCACAGCAUGUAGAUUGGACUAUUGACAUGGUCUAUUGUACAAGCAUUUCUGCUUGCUCUUAAAACAAAUUUCACAAAUUGGCAAAAACAAGUUAU